CCUACGUGAGGCAGCAGUGGGGAAUAUUGCACAAUGGGGGAAACCCUGAUGCAGCGACGCCGCGUGAGUGAAGACGUAAUUCGUUAUGUAAAGCUCUAUCAGCAGGGAAGAAAAUGACGGUACCUGAGUAAGAAGCCCCGGCUAACUACGUGCCAGCAGCCGCGGUAAUACGUAGGGGGCAAGCGUUAUCCGGAUUUCCUGGGUGUAAAGGGAGCGUAGACGGCAGUGCAAGUCUGGAGUGAAAGGCGGGGGCUCAACCCCCGGACUGCUCUGGAAACUGUACGGCUGGAGUGCAGGAGAGGUAAGUGGAAUGCCUAGUGUAGCGGUGAAAUGCGUAGAUAUUAGGAGGAACACCAGUGGCGAAGGCGGCUUACUGGACUGUAACUGACGUUGAGGCUCGAAAGCGUGGGGAGCAAACAGGAUUAGAUACCCUAGUAGUC
Molecule: ribosomal RNA, 440 nt
Filed under: uncultured bacterium
Lineage: Bacteria
Description: partial 16S ribosomal RNA
Rfam family: Bacterial small subunit ribosomal RNA
Source: RNAcentral